ACGCGCAUUCAUGGAGCUAGGUCUCCUGCUCGCCUUAAAUUCAUUCGUCGAUUUGGGUGUGAAAUGAUGCUGGUCUCGGUAGUAUACAAAUUGACGCGACUCCUUGCUCACUCGCGAUGGGGAUUAGCCGUUUAGGCAACUGCGAUGGUGAUCUGCUAUGUGGAGGAUGGGAGAGGGAGCCUUAUUACUACUUCAUUAAGGGAACUGCGAUGGUGAUCUGCUAUGUGGACUUCUGUAGUUUUUUUAUUACUACUUCUGCUGAGGGUGUUGGAGCUGGAUGUAUGGUUUCCUCAAUGGAGUUGAGUUGAGGAUUCAUCGGAGAGAACGCAGAACAGAUGUGUAUAUGGUUAUUUGGAGAUAUGUACAUCGGCUAAUGUACAUAUGAACAGUUAUUUGGAGAUUUGUGUACUGGCCAAUGCAUGGGUGAACAAAUCGCAGAUCACUUGCUCAGGCA
Molecule: long non-coding RNA, 454 nt
Organism: Brachypodium distachyon (stiff brome)
Lineage: Eukaryota; Viridiplantae; Streptophyta; Magnoliopsida; Poales; Poaceae
Exons: 2
Source: RefSeq, a predicted model, not a curated record